RNAcentral lists this long non-coding RNA (1987 nucleotides) under Theobroma cacao (cacao). Its description in RNAcentral is "long non-coding RNA (TCAC_LNC001035)". The record is from RNAcentral. Lineage: Eukaryota; Viridiplantae; Streptophyta; Magnoliopsida; Malvales; Malvaceae.
UAGAGUUAUACGUAAAUAAUUUUUUUGUAGCAGCGUAAAAGCAAAAUAAAUUCAUACAUACUGUAAUACAGUAAGCUAGAGUAUUUAAUUUAAUUUACAAUAACCAGUGGGCCCCCCGAAUAACCAAAAGUAAGGAAGACUGUGAACCUAUAGUUUGGAGGAUGCAAAUCCAAUGGUAGCCUCAAUGAAAUCAGCUAUCUACAGCCUAUUCUGAGCCUAAAAUGGGUGGAAAGGAGGGUGGUGAGAUUAUAUAAUCCCAGUGAGUAAACAAAUACCAUCUAAAAUAUCUAAAGCCGAGUAAAUAGAGACAAAUAAAAUAGUUUAACAUACUGUAAUUCAUCACCUUUCAACUUGUUUCAACCAAAUAAAAUCAAUUCAUAUAAAUCAAGUAAUCAACAUGGCUUAUGAGUAUCUUAAAACUUUGGCUCGCGCCAAAAUCAUUCUCAUACCCAGUUAUUAGGGAUAGCUUGAUCGAGGGCUAUCCCAACCGAGUUUGCCAAGGCUGUUAAAAAGUUAUGUAUGCAUAAAUCAUGUUUUUAUUUUGAAAACAUAGCCGUUCCUUGGCGUUGGCUGAGUUCACCCUCAUGUGGUUGGUUUGCGUGAAGUGAAACUCUAAAGUUAUACCUCGGGAGUUACCCUACUCGCCUCUCCAAUCGAGGUAAACUAUAACGGGAUUCUGUGCCCCUCUAAUAGGCUGGUCCACAGAAAACCCGUCCACUGUAGCAAGUUAAACCCACCAUACAAUAAAAUUUGCAAUAGCAUGACAUGGCAAUUAUUUUAUUUUAUUUUACAGCCUUUCAAGACAAAUCAACAAUUUUUACAUUUCCAACACAUUUAUCAAAUCAACCAUACAUGCCAAUAUUGCCAUAAGCCAAUCAAUUAGAAUCAUGAAUUUACAACACACAAAAACAAUAUUCAAUUACUCUAUUUUCAAACCAUCAUUCAAUUUUAAAACAAUUUUAUGAAAUCAUUUCAUUAAAUCACAUUUUGUUUAUAAAAUCAAAAAAUUAAUCAUUUAAUUCAUUUUCCAUAAAAUUCACAAAAUCGAAUAAAACAUACUUUAGAUAAUUAAGAUGAUGAUAAGGUUACUCACUAUUUCAGGAGUCGAAUUCCAAGUACUCCGAUUCUUGAUCCUCGGGUACUAUCUCUUUACUUUUGGCAGAAUGCUCACCACCUAGACAUAAAGCACAAUAAGCCAUUUACUACAUUGUGCUAAAUUGUUAUAAAACCAAUUCAGACUUUAUACUAAUAUAUGAAAUGGGAUGCAAAUUGCUCGGAUUAUUGUCUAAACACGGUGCUCUACACAAAUUCAUUUGUGUACCUAAAUUAAACAGGUAUUGGCCUUAUUCGAUUUAUCGCUCGAUUAAUUGGCCAAUACGUCCAAUUCAACUCCAAAUAAUUUCAUGUUUCUCCCAAUACUCCAAAUCAUCAAAUACAAAUUAAAUAACUUGAAAUAUGACAAAAUCAUCCUCACAUUUUCUCUUGGAAAAUUCGGCCAUGGUGGGUGCAUCAACACUAUAAUUUUUCCUACUUGAUUCUCACACCAUAAAUCACUAAUUCCUAACCAAAUCACUUGAAAUAAAAUCAAAAUCAUCAUCAAUAUUCUACAUGGAGAAUUCGACCAAUGAUGGGUGAUGGGAGAACAUGAAUUUUUCUUGCUUGAUUUUCAUGCUACACAUCACCAAUCAACUAAAAACACUACAAUACAUUAAAAUCUAACCAAAUCAAGCAUCAAAACCUCUCUCCUAGGGUUUGAUCAGCACACUAUCCUUCAUGAUAUCUUGUGGUUCAAGCAUGAAAAAUGCAAAAUAAUGCAUGGGAAAGGUAGAUCACAAGUCAAAAUCAAGAAAUUUUACCUUUGAUUGCUUGAUUACUUGAAAUCCACCAAUUUUCUCUUGAAUUUUCACCCUAGGGUUCUUGUUCUUCCUUUUUCUUCCUUUGUUCUUGCUUUGGCCGGCCAUAUGAAGAGAAAUAGGCUGAUUUUGUG